RNAcentral lists this ribosomal RNA (253 nucleotides) under uncultured bacterium. RNAcentral describes it as "partial 16S ribosomal RNA". It matches the Rfam family "Bacterial small subunit ribosomal RNA", at positions 524 to 776 of the family's 1533-position model. The record is from RNAcentral.
UACGGGGGGGGUAAGCGUUGUUCGGAAUUACUGGGCGUAAAGGGCUCGUAGGCGGCCAACUAAGUCAUACGUGAAAUCCCUCAGCUUAACUGGGGAACUGCGUCUGAGACUGGAUGGCUCGAGUGCAGGAGAGGAAUGCGGAAUUCCAGGUGUAGCGGUGAAAUGCGUAGAUAUCUGGAGGAACACCGGUGGCGAAGGCGGCAUUCUGGACUGCAACUGACACUGAGAGACGAAAGCCAGGGGAGCAAACGGG